RNAcentral lists this ribosomal RNA (651 nucleotides) under uncultured Pseudomonas sp. RNAcentral's name for it is "bacterial SSU rRNA". It matches the Rfam family "Bacterial small subunit ribosomal RNA", at positions 28 to 674 of the family's 1533-position model. The record is from RNAcentral. Lineage: Bacteria; Pseudomonadati; Pseudomonadota; Gammaproteobacteria; Pseudomonadales; Pseudomonadaceae.
AUUGAACGCUGGCGGCAGGCCUAACACAUGCAAGUCGAGCGGUAGAGAGAAGCUUGCUUCUCUUGAGAGCGGCGGACGGGUGAGUAAUGCCUAGGAAUCUGCCUGGUAGUGGGGGAUAACGUUCGGAAACGGACGCUAAUACCGCAUACGUCCUACGGGAGAAAGCAGGGGACCUUCGGGCCUUGCGCUAUCAGAUGAGCCUAGGUCGGAUUAGCUAGUUGGUGAGGUAAUGGCUCACCAAGGCGACGAUCCGUAACUGGUCUGAGAGGAUGAUCAGUCACACUGGAACUGAGACACGGUCCAGACUCCUACGGGAGGCAGCAGUGGGGAAUAUUGGACAAUGGGCGAAAGCCUGAUCCAGCCAUGCCGCGUGUGUGAAGAAGGUCUUCGGAUUGUAAAGCACUUUAAGUUGGGAGGAAGGGUUGUAGAUUAAUACUCUGCAAUUUUGACGUUACCGACAGAAUAAGCACCGGCUAACUCUGUGCCAGCAGCCGCGGUAAUACAGAGGGUGCAAGCGUUAAUCGGAAUUACUGGGCGUAAAGCGCGCGUAGGUGGUUUGUUAAGUUGGAUGUGAAAGCCCCGGGCUCAACCUGGGAACUGCAUUCAAAACUGACAAGCUAGAGUAUGGUAGAGGGUGGUGGAAUUUCCUGU